GUGCCAGCAGCCGCGGUAAUACGUAGGUGGCAAGCGUUAUCCGGAAUUAUUGGGCGUAAAGCGCGCGUAGGCGGUUUUUUAAGUCUGAUGUGAAAGCCCACGGCUCAACCGUGGAGGGUCAUUGGAAACUGGAAAACUUGAGUGCAGAAGAGGAAAGUGGAAUUCCAUGUGUAGCGGUGAAAUGCGCAGAGAUAUGGAGGAACACCAGUGGCGAAGGCGACUUUCUNGGUCUGUAACUGACGCUGAUGUGCGAAAGCGUGGGGAUCAAACAGGAUUAGAUAC
RNAcentral lists this ribosomal RNA (282 nucleotides) under uncultured Staphylococcus sp. RNAcentral describes it as "partial 16S ribosomal RNA". It matches the Rfam family "Bacterial small subunit ribosomal RNA", at positions 505 to 785 of the family's 1533-position model. The record is from RNAcentral. Lineage: Bacteria; Bacillati; Bacillota; Bacilli; Caryophanales; Staphylococcaceae.